This 98-nucleotide microRNA precursor is filed under the name Marmota monax (woodchuck). Lineage: Eukaryota; Metazoa; Chordata; Mammalia; Rodentia; Sciuridae. The record is from RNAcentral.
AGUUUCUUGGUUGUGUAAUUGGUAGAUAUUUAGUUUUCCAAGAAACUGCCAAACUAUUUGCUGGAGUGGCUAUACCAUUUUAUAUUCCCACCAGCCAU